Molecule: long non-coding RNA, 1141 nt
Filed under: Marmota monax (woodchuck)
Lineage: Eukaryota; Metazoa; Chordata; Mammalia; Rodentia; Sciuridae
Source: RNAcentral
GCUUUGCAGAGUUGUUGCAGGGGUUAAAUGAGAUGUAUACAAAGUGCCAACGUAGAACAGGUUGCUGUUAUUCACAUUAAAAUGAAGGUCGGGCACCUAUCAUAGUCAGAAACGAAGUUUAUAUACUCUGGGGAUAUUUUAGGACUGAGUCCAGGCUGCAUAAGGGGGAGGGCUGUCCCAGGAGGGGCCCAGCAACAGGCUCCUUGGAGACUGAGUUGGGUGUGGCCCUGGAUAAUCCAUCACACUGGCCUCCCCAUUCAGACCCCUAUCUUAGCCCCACCUCGCAGUUCUGGCCCUUCAUGUAUCUCCCCUGCUCUGCAAACUAAUGCCUCUGCCUCUCUCUGUCACCCGCCCGCCUGUGGCCUCUACCCUGCCCUUCCUGGCCCCAGGGAAGAGGAGGAGGAGGAGGAGACUGAGGAAGAGGAAGAGGAAGACGCUCACCAGUUCUGCUGUCCGGCCUCCGAGUGCAGUAGUCCCUCCUCUCGGUAACUGAGAGGACAAGGGCCAUUUUCUAUGCAGAAGCAAAAGCCUUAACCAGCCCCCCACCCAGCCCCUGUGGAUCCCCCAUGGGACCCUGUCCCCUGCUUCAGGAAUCAAAUGGGCUAGCAUUGUGCCCCUUCUUCCCCUACUUCCUUCUUGGAACCCCCUCCCACUACUGUCUCCCCUGGGCUCCAGCCCCGGAAUUAAAAAGAGCUGGAGCCCUAGGUCUGACUAAAAUGUGGGAGAAGCAAAGCUUGGAGCUUGGAGCUUGGAAUCCCAACCCUCCUGCACAUGCACUCCCACUUCCCACUUCCCGAUUCCCGGGCACCCUGGAGCCUGCCACUCCUGGAGAGGUCUCCAAAUGACAUCCCAAGGACCUACCUCUGUCCUCUGUGAGCACAAACAGAGAUGCAGGGUGCCUAGGGCUCAGAGGACCAGACGGGGACAGGACCCAGCCUGCCUAGAUCCCUGUCGUUCGUCCCCUUGCUGUGGCCAUUGCUGCCAUUUCCUCCACUGCUUGAAGGCCUUGCCCCAUGCCCCUUGCCACUCCCAUAGUGCUCUGUAAAUAUGAUCAGGAGGAAAAGGCCUUUCAGAGUGUGUGUUGCUGUGUACAAAGGAAUUUCCAUCAAUAAAAGCUGAUCUCUUCUCUCUGUCUGAUGUA